RNAcentral lists this unclassified non-coding RNA (331 nucleotides) under uncultured Rubrobacterales bacterium. RNAcentral's name for it is "contains 16S-23S intergenic spacer region". Lineage: Bacteria; Bacillati; Actinomycetota; Rubrobacteria; Rubrobacterales. The record is from RNAcentral.
UCCGGGUUGGACCCGGCGGUCCCGCCAGACAUCGUAACUGGCAGCGAGGGUUGCGCUCGUUGCGGGACUUAACCCAACACCUCACGGCACGAGCUGACGACAGCCAUGCAGCAUCUGUGCGCUUGCAGCACCAUGUCAAGCCCAGGUAAGGUUCUUCGCGUUGCAUCGAAUUAAAGAACAUGCUCCGCUGCUUGUGCGGGCCCCCGUCAAUUCUUUUGAGUUUUAGCCUUGCGGCCGUACUCCCCAGGCGGAACACUUAUCGCGUUAGCUGCGGCACGGAGGGAUUCGACUCCCCCCACACCUAGUGUUCAUCGUUUACGGCUAGGACUAC